AUUAGAUUAAAAACCAAUGCCCUUCGGGGCUCUCUGGUGAUUCAUGAUAACUUCUCGAAUCGCAUGGCCUUGCGCCGGCGAUGGUUCAUUCAAAUUUCCUCCCUAUCAACUUUCGAUGUUUGGGUAUUGGCCAAACAUGGUUGCAACGGGUAACGGAGGGUUAGGGCUCGACCCCGGAGAAGGAGCCUGAGAAACGGCUACUACAUCCAAGGAAGGCAGCAGGCGCGCAAAUUACCCAAUCCCGACUCGGGGAGGUAGUGACAAUAAAUACUGAUACAGGGUUCUUUCGGAUCUUGUAAUUGGAAUGAGUACAAUUUAAAUCCCUUAACGAGGAACAAUUGGAGGGCAAGUCUGGUGCCAGCAGCCGCGGUAAUUCCAGCUCCAAUAGCGUAUAUUAAAGUUGUUGUGGUUAAAAAGCUCGUAGUUGAACCUUGGGCCUGGCUGGCCGGUCCGCCUCACCGCGUGUACUGGUCCGGCCGGGCCUUUCCCUCUGUGGAACCCUAUGCCCUUCACUGGG
RNAcentral lists this ribosomal RNA (517 nucleotides) under uncultured fungus. Its description in RNAcentral is "SSU rRNA". It matches the Rfam family "Eukaryotic small subunit ribosomal RNA", at positions 209 to 726 of the family's 1831-position model. The record is from RNAcentral. Lineage: Eukaryota; Fungi.